UAGAAUUCUGCGCGAUUCCAUAUUUUCAUUUGCUAUAGCCCACGCCUUCCGAGUGGUGCUGGGAACCCCGGACCCCGAUCGCCUAAAAGUUUUCCAGCCAUCAAAUACGACCUAAGGAACCAUAGUCACCGCCCCGCCAUGAUCGUUCUUCAUUUUUUGCGUUUUUCGGCCAAAACACUAGAAUUCCGCCCGAUUACCAUAUUAUUGUGUGCUAUUGCCCAUGCCUUCCGAGUGGGCCGAGCCCCCCGUACUCGGAUCGCCUAAAGUUUUUUCGGGCCAUAAAAUAGGACCUUAGGAACCAUAGUCACCACCUCGCCAUGAUCUUUCCUAAUUUUUCGCAUUUUUCGGCCAAAAAAACUAGAACAUAUUUUUGUGUGCUAUAGACAACGCUUUCCAAGUGGUCCCGGGAUCCCCGGAUAUCGAUCGCCUAAAAUUUUUCCGGGCCAUCAAAUACGACCUAAGGAACCAUAGUAACUGCCCCGCCAAGAUCAUUCCUCAUUUUAUUGCGAUUUCUAGGCAAAAAAACUAGAAUUCCACCCGAUUCCCAUAUUUU
This 553-nucleotide long non-coding RNA is filed under the name Nicotiana tabacum (common tobacco). RNAcentral's name for it is "long non-coding RNA (NTAB_LNC003672)". Lineage: Eukaryota; Viridiplantae; Streptophyta; Magnoliopsida; Solanales; Solanaceae. The record is from RNAcentral.